Molecule: transfer RNA, 71 nt
Filed under: Loxodonta africana (African savanna elephant)
Lineage: Eukaryota; Metazoa; Chordata; Mammalia; Proboscidea; Elephantidae
Rfam family: tRNA
About the family: Transfer RNA (tRNA) molecules are approximately 80 nucleotides in length. Their secondary structure includes four short double-helical elements and three loops (D, anti-codon, and T loops).
Source: Rfam by way of RNAcentral
GCAGUGGUGGUUCAAUGGUAGAAUUCUUGCCUUCCGUGCAGGAGCCCAGGGUCCAAUUCCUGGCCAAUGUA